RNAcentral lists this long non-coding RNA (228 nucleotides) under Mytilus galloprovincialis (Mediterranean mussel). Lineage: Eukaryota; Metazoa; Mollusca; Bivalvia; Mytilida; Mytilidae. The record is from RNAcentral.
CAAAGUAAGAUUUACAAAUAAGUCAACAUGACCGAAAUGGUCAAUUGACCCCCUAAGGAGUUAUUGUCCUUUGUAGUCAAUUUUUAACAAUUUUCAUAAAAUUUGUAAAUUUUUAUUAACAUUUUCCACUAAAACUAUUGGGCCAAGGUUAUUAUAGAUAGAGAUAAUUGUAAGCAGCAAGACUGUUUAGUAAAGUAAGAUGUACAAACACAUCAACAUCACCAAAAC